ACAGAAACCAUCUCAAGUUUGAGGCUGGAUUCACAUGGUCCUCCUUUUCUUGUAUGUCCCAGCGUCUGGUGAGAAUUUCUUGGAUUCAAAGGGAAUGUCCAGCAUCUGACUCCCAUCUUGGCACUAGGUUUGAAUGUUUUUUACAUUGACAUUUACCUGGAGUAUUGCAGCAGGAUUCCAAAGAAGCUCACCCAGGACCGCCCCGCUGACCCGGACCUGGACCCAAUGGUAGGAUCCAGCAAGGGGCCCGUUGAGCCCACUGGUACCCACUGUACUGGGUGAACUUGGGUGAGUUGUCUCUUGGAUUCAAGACCUUCCUUUGUUUGUGGUAGAGGGCCUGACUUUAUCUGAGCUGUAUUUUUAAAUCCUUGAGGUGGAACUAAGGUUAAGGGUUGGCAGACCCUAGGAUAAGGCGAGACAGGAAAUAAAAAUAGGUAGCUGGUUUUUAACUUUGGCUUUUCAGCUGGAAUUGCUUUCUGAGAGUCUGAACAAAAAACCUUUUGCUGGAUAAGUGAUAGCUGAACUCACCUCCGAAGAUAAGGGGCAUUUCCUCCUUCCAGCCUGAAUCUUGGGGGUGUUCUUAGGUAACUAAUAAUCUUUGUAAAGGUGUUAGAGGUCAUUUCUCACAACAUGCAGGAGCCCCAUAGGGAAAUUCCGACUCAACUGUAAUUAAACAAUUGACUUGUUCGGGGAUGCACAUAUGAAGGUUGGUCACCUAUUAGACAGCCAGGGAGAGAUACCAAGGCAUGUAGAGGGUUGAAUGCAACUUGAGGGCUGAGAGCCUCGUGGAGUUCAACCCAUAAGCAGCACACUUUGACCCACUACAUAACAUCCCUAGAAAAAUUUGUUCAGACUAUACAGAUCCCAAAAUAAAACUAAAAUUAACAUGGGAAGUUAUGCUUUCAAGGCUGGAAACUCCCAGACCCCAGCCCUCAUUAAUACUCUUGAUAAGAAGACUUUACUUGCAAGUGCUUUACAGAAAUGGGAAGACUUAACUAGAAAUGAUAUCAGCUUAACAAGGCCAAAAUGCAGUUGUCUUUAGGUGCAGAAAUUAAUUUUUUUGCAUGCAAAAUUAGAAAAUGCCAGCUCUAGCAGUAGCCGGUUUG
Molecule: non-coding RNA, 1106 nt
Organism: Miniopterus natalensis
Lineage: Eukaryota; Metazoa; Chordata; Mammalia; Chiroptera; Miniopteridae
Source: RefSeq, a predicted model, not a curated record